This 754-nucleotide long non-coding RNA is filed under the name Sinocyclocheilus anshuiensis. Its description in RNAcentral is "lncRNA (ENSSANG00000039408.1)". The record is from RNAcentral. Lineage: Eukaryota; Metazoa; Chordata; Actinopteri; Cypriniformes; Cyprinidae.
UGGAAAGCUUUUAUGCUCCUCAGUGAUGUGGGUUACAAGGCAGACAGCUUCAGAUCUGUCCUUGUGAGACGUUUUUCCUCAAAAAGCGUUAUGCCACAAAUGUCUGACAACAGUGACGUUCCAAAAUUGAGAGAGCAGCUCCAGAGAUAAUAGAUUCUGAAUAUUGAACCAUGAUAUGAAGCCCAGUCACACUAUCACAGUGGAUCUCAACUGGCGGAUCACAACCUGAAAAAGAGGGACAGAUCUAUUCUGCUGCUGCUUCUGACUUCCGAAAGGCGAACAGUGGGUCAUGUCCUGGCAGCUGUGGGCUGGAGCGAAGCCUCCCAGGUGACGGAGAGUUUUGCACAUUGGGCAGGGAUACUCAGCCAGACCUUCAAUGUCCUCAAAAGCCAGGUUGACGAUCUGAUCGGAGCAGGGGUCGCAGUAGAGGUGGCCGCAGGAGAGACGCUUCAGCCGGGCCUCGUAGGAGAUGCAGCACUGGCAGUGAGGAACAUCAGAGUUCAGAGACAGACUACCGGUCAGAGAACUGCUCUCCAUGCUAGCAGCCCGACUCGAGCCCAGCUUUGUGGAUGACCUGCAGGACCAUAGGACAGAAAAAUCACAGAUGAGAUCUCUUUAGUAUUUGAAUUGUUUCUAUGUAUUGCUGGGAAACUGGUAAAUGCCAGGAAAAUACACAUAAUGUAUAGCUUCGGGACAGAGGGUUUCGAUAUAAAAUCAAGUAUUUCUCAUCAAAACAGACCACACUGAAAAUAUG